GCCCGCUUUAGCCAGCUCGAGACAAAAAUGUUUCCCUCUUCCCCGUGGUUCUCCUUGGCCACGCGGUGGCUCUCAUUAUGUACACAAAGGCACACAUAGUUCCUUUUGGCGUCUUAUCUUCUGAAGCUGCCUCAAGGCCAAGCAAAGAAAGUUGUUAAAAAGUUAAGUUACUUUUCACAGCCUGCAAACCCUUCAAAGGCAAGAACUCAAAUAGAAACUUGGAAAGGCAGAUAAGCCAGAAAAGUGUACUAAUAAACGCACUUAAUAUGAUUAUUUUUUGAUGCCAGGUCCACCAAGUGAAGAUUGGAGGAUGUAUUUGUUUCUUCUACUCAACAACAAUUGAUAAAGCAUGAGUUCCAUCAAGGACUGUGUUCUAGGUGGAGAAAGGGUGACUCACCCAGUCAUUGGAUCUCUUUCACUUCCAGUCUCUGGAAGGCAGAUAUCUUUAUAAAAUAUGCAGACAGCUAGGCUCUAAACACUGGACAAGAGGUCUGUAAUCAUCCAGUCACAUCUCAGGUCAGAGGGUCUUGGACUGCUUAAGAAAGAGCUGACCAUUGUCUUAAGAACCUGGGGUGGCCUAGAGCCAUCUUGAGGUGAUUUUAUCAGCCCCAUCAGGAUAAUUCUCCUCAGCUUCCUUGCAUGAAUAGUGUAACUGGUGCUACUACUUUUGUUUUUAGUCACUUUUCCUAGCCUGCACUUCCCUUCCCGGCCCUCCUUUUUCCUCUGUAGCCAAGUCAUCACUUCUCUUUACCUAAAUGAGUUUUGGAAUCCAGGGGAUAAAACGAAAAGAUAGGCAGGGCGCUGUGGCUCACACCUGUAAUCCCACCACUUUGGGAGGCCGAGGUGGGUGGAUCACCUGAGGUCAGGAGUUUGAGACCAGCCUGACCAAUAUGGUGAAACCCCAUCUCUACUAAAAAUACAAAAAUUAGCCGGGCGUGGUGGCGUGUGACUGUAGUCCCAGCUACUUGGGAGGCUGAGACAGGAGGGUUGCUUGAACCUGGGAGACAGAGGUUGCAGAAAGCUGAGAUCGUGCCAUUGCACUCCAGCCUGGGUGACAGAGCAAGACUCUGUCUCAAAAACAAAAACAAAAAAACGGAAAGAUAAUUCCUUGAGCACAAGCUUCACUCUCCUUAUUCUCAACAUCUGUGUCUGUAUUAUUCUUUACAGUUUAUGAAACACUUAUUUAAUCUCACUUAAUGCCCAAACUAGUGAUGUUAGUUAUUUUUUUUAAAAAGUCAAGAUCACUUAACACAUCCAAAUAUAACAAAGUUAAAAGGCAUAAAACUGGGUACCCAACAUAAAUUAUCUGAUUAUAAAUCAAGUGGUCUCUGGGAAAUCUUGUCAUUUCAGAAGGUCAGAUGGAUGUGGAGGGCAGAAACUAACCUCAGAUUAUGCCAGGGACGCCAGGGCCUCCUGAACACUGUGGGGGGUUGUGCUCUGAAAUCUACCUCCAGUUUUACAAGAAGCUCUCUUCCAAUCUGUCU
RNAcentral lists this long non-coding RNA (1484 nucleotides) under Homo sapiens (human). Its description in RNAcentral is "HSALNT0392534". The record is from RNAcentral. Lineage: Eukaryota; Metazoa; Chordata; Mammalia; Primates; Hominidae.